RNAcentral lists this unclassified non-coding RNA (210 nucleotides) under plant metagenome. RNAcentral describes it as "partial contains small subunit ribosomal RNA, internal transcribed spacer 1, and 5.8S ribosomal RNA". The record is from RNAcentral.
UCUCCGUUGGUGAACCAGCGGAGGGAGCAUUACUGGAAUCGCAAGAUCCCACAACCCCUGUGAACCUACCGAAACGUUGCCUCGGCGGGCGCCCGGCCCCGCGCCGGGCGUCGAGCCCGCCCGUGGCCCACUACUCUGUCUCUGCAGCGUGGCAUCUCCGAGUACAAGAAAAACAAGUCAAAACUUUCAACAACGGAUCUCUUGGCUCUA